Non-coding RNA from Dipodomys ordii (Ord's kangaroo rat), 65 nucleotides. Lineage: Eukaryota; Metazoa; Chordata; Mammalia; Rodentia; Heteromyidae. The record is from Rfam.
GGUGGCUCAGUGGUAGAGUGCUUGCCUUGCAUGCAUGAGGCCCUGGGUUCGAUUCCUCAGUACUA